UACGAACCGUCCAAACGUUAUUCGGAAUCACUGGGCUUACAGAGUUCGUAGGCGGCGGAGAAAGUAGGGUGUGAAAGCCCUCGGCCUAACCGAGGAAUUGCGCCCUAAACUACUUCGCUCGAGGAGGCUAGAGGUGAGCAGAACUGAUGGUGGAGCGGUGAAAUGCGUUGAUAUCAUCAGGAAUACCGGAGGCGAAAGCGGCUCACUGGGACCUUUCUGACGCUGAGGAACGAAAGCUAGGGGAGCGAACGGGAUUAGAUACCCCGGUAGUCCUAGCCGUAAACGAUGAGCACUAGACCGGAGAUCUGCACAGGUUUUCGGUCGUAGCGAAAGUGUUAAGUGCUCCGCCUGGGGAGUAUGGUCGCAAGGCUGAA
Molecule: ribosomal RNA, 374 nt
Filed under: uncultured bacterium
Lineage: Bacteria
Description: bacterial SSU rRNA
Rfam family: Bacterial small subunit ribosomal RNA
Source: RNAcentral